Maylandia zebra (zebra mbuna) is the source of this 744-nucleotide non-coding RNA. NCBI's taxonomy places the organism in Eukaryota, Metazoa, Chordata, Actinopteri, Cichliformes, Cichlidae. The record is from RefSeq and is a predicted model, not a curated record.
GUUUCUGAGUGAGGGGGAGAGGAGUCAUCAUCCAGGUAAAGUGACGUGGAUCAGUGGAUACACUUGUCUCCCCUUUAAAGGAGACGAUCCAAGUCAUCCUUAAAUAUGGGCAGUAUAUCAGUCUUGGACUGUCUAACCUGCCGGAGCAGCACUGAAUGACCACCGCACGAGCAUGUUCCUGCAACAUUCAGCAUCUGAUCUGUCAUCUGUGUGCUUCUGCUUUUGUGUCAAAUGUCAAACAGCUGGAGAGGAAACUACACCAGUGUACUGGGAUGUUUCAGCAACACGUGCCAGAUGCUGUUCCUUCAUGGUGACAUCACCAGAGACAGUCCCGCCCACCUCAGGACCCAUUGAUUAUGAUGAUCUGAUCCAUCAAACCCCCAGCAGUUACAGUACGUGAUAUCUUGAUAUCAGGCGGUCAACACUGGGGGAAGACAAGAAGCAGACGUACUUCCAAGAGGGAGCUGCAGUGAGGACACAGCCAGGUCACUGAGGUCAGAGGAGGCGCUGGAAGGUUUCCCUAAUAGUUCCUGGUGAAUCAAAGCAGAACCAUAAAGGUUGCUGGAUUGCAUGAUGGCCUUACCCCUGAGCAGUCAUCCUGUUAAAGGAGGAACCAGUUAGAAGCUGUUUUCAAAGUAGCUGAGCAGAUUUCAUCUCAACAGACAAAGCCGAUUGCAGAAGAUUUCGGAGAAGAACUUCAGGCCGUGUACUGAAAAGGUAUUUUUUUCUUGUUAUCAAAAGACA